This 460-nucleotide ribosomal RNA is filed under the name uncultured bacterium. RNAcentral describes it as "partial 16S ribosomal RNA". It matches the Rfam family "Bacterial small subunit ribosomal RNA", at positions 338 to 795 of the family's 1533-position model. The record is from RNAcentral.
CCUACGGGUGGCAGCAGUGAGGAAUAUUGGUCAAUGGACGAGAGCCUGAACCAGCCAAGUAGCGUGAAGGAUGACUGCCCCAUGGGUCGUAAACUUCUUUUAUCUGGGAAUAAAACGUUCCACGUGUGGGAUUUUGUAUGUACCAUAUGAAUAAGCAUCGGCUAACUCCGUGCCAGCAGCCGCGGUAAUACGGAGGAUCCGAGCGUUAUCCGGAUUUAUUGGGUUUAAAGGGAGCGUAGGCGGAUUGUUAAGUCAGUUGUGAAAGUUUGCGGCUCAACCGUAAAAUUGCAGUUGAAACUGGCAGUCUUGAGUACAGUAGAGGUGGGCGGAAUUCGUGGUGUAGCGGUGAAAUGCUUAGAUAUCACGAAGAACUCCGAUUGCGAAGGCAGUUCACUGGACUGCAACUGACACUGAGGCUCGAAAGUGUGGGUAUCAAACAGGAUUAGAUACCCGGGUAGUC